AUGGACAUGCCCUUCUGUAGCCAACCCCUUAUAAUGACCACAGAUGAGGGCCUGAGGCUCUUAGGCUCAUCCAAGCCUGUGAAGCAUUUGCUGACUUUUUUCCAUCUGCAACUUUUGCUCUUUUUCUUCCUUUUGAUGGAGGAUGACUGUGGCUGGGUUCUCCUUAUUCCUCAUGGUGGAGAGGAGCUUCCUUCACCUAAACAGCUGGGCUGUAAAUCACCAGGGAUGCUGAGAUGUGGCAGUGGUUUGACACUGGGAAACAAGAAGCAUCAGAGAACUCGUGGGAUUUUUUCACAAAAGAGUUGGAGUUUGCUUUCUCAGCCAAUGUGUUUUCCUACUGCACAAAACCUCUCACUUUAACUGGCCCCCAGAUGCAGCUUUUCUUCUUUUUACAAACUGUAGUGGAGGAUGAUGUUGUCACAGGCCCCAUCUCUGAUAUAUGUCACAGAUUUCAAAGCACUUUAUGAAUCAGAUGAGUAGCUUUCUUCCAAUUUUGCAAUUAGUGAAAGAGUAACAAGAUGAGCUCCUCGUUUCCCUUCCCUGCACCACUUGCAAUGAAUCCAGGUCUUCAGUGAUUCUAUUCAAGCUCCCUCUAGGACAGCUGGAGCAAGCCAAGAAUGAGUGCUGUAAAAUGAUCUGCUUUCAAGCACCUUUGGAGCUUUUUUAUUUCCCAAAUAUAAAUUUCUGUUUCCUCACCAUCAAAAAAUAAAUAAAAUAGCAGAGUCA
This 726-nucleotide long non-coding RNA is filed under the name Anser brachyrhynchus (Pink-footed goose). RNAcentral's name for it is "lncRNA (ENSABRG00000001668.1)". The record is from RNAcentral. Lineage: Eukaryota; Metazoa; Chordata; Aves; Anseriformes; Anatidae.